GUGGCUGGUGGUUUAUAAUUCCUUCGCAGUGCUCUCAACAAUGCUGAGUAACGCUUUCACUGGCUGACCAUUUACUCCUAGCAAGGCAACGAAUCUUUCCCUGCUGGUGGUGAUCGAGCUCUUUUGCCCUAGUGGCCUAAUAGGUUAUGAGCCCGUGUAAGCGCGACUGCUACAGGGUGUGCCAACAUGCUAUCACAGGUUCGAAUCAGACCAAGGCCAGAAGAAUAUCCCUUACUAAUGCACAUUCUCUUACCAAGAUGGAGGAGAUUGGUGGUUAGGCACCCAGGAAGACCCCAGGCCACCAAAGACCAAUGGCAGUAGGGUAGUGGAACUUAGGAAGAGCCAGGUUCCCCCAGCUGGCCGGAUGGUAGAGUGGGUCCGAGGGGGGGUGUUGGGGGGAUUGGAUUGGGUGAUUCGUACCCUCUAUACCACCACAGCGCUG
RNAcentral lists this small RNA (442 nucleotides) under Histoplasma ohiense. Its description in RNAcentral is "hypothetical lncRNA". Lineage: Eukaryota; Fungi; Ascomycota; Eurotiomycetes; Onygenales; Ajellomycetaceae. The record is from RNAcentral.